This 226-nucleotide long non-coding RNA is filed under the name Diabrotica virgifera virgifera (western corn rootworm). RNAcentral describes it as "uncharacterized LOC126878635". Lineage: Eukaryota; Metazoa; Arthropoda; Insecta; Coleoptera; Chrysomelidae. The record is from RNAcentral.
GUAUGUGAUGUGUUUGUGUCACCAUAAAAAGCUGAUAUUCAGUCGUGUUUUUUGAUAUUUUUGUUAUUUCAUAAUCGAGUACCUUUUUAAAGGUCUAAUGGCUCCGUUCAGCUGUUGUAUGCAGACGGUGGAAAAAUUCGAAAGUAAACAUUUAUUUAAUCCAAAUUACUCAUAUUUCUAUGUAAAAUGUCACAUUAUUGUAUAAAUAAAUAAGUAAGAAACAAAA